RNAcentral lists this long non-coding RNA (129 nucleotides) under Sus scrofa (pig). RNAcentral's name for it is "lncRNA (ENSSSCG00070005503.1)". The record is from RNAcentral. Lineage: Eukaryota; Metazoa; Chordata; Mammalia; Artiodactyla; Suidae.
GAACAGCCCACACUCUUGACCAUCACCGAGCAAGCAUACCCGCCCUUAAGGCUGGAGUGAAGUGGGAGGAGCCGGUGACUGCAGUGUACCUACCCAGCUGGCGGCACCCCAUCCGGGUAAGACACAUCA